GACGAACGCUGGCGGCGUGCUUAACACAUGCAAGUCGUACGGUAAGGCCCUUUCUGUGGUACACGAGUGGCGAACGGGUGAGUAACACGUGAGUAACCUGCCCACCACUUUGGGAUAACUCUAGGAAACUGGUGCUAAUACUGGAUAUGUGCUCCUGCUGCAUGGUUGGGGUUGGAAAGCUCCGGGGGGUGUGGAUGGACGCGCGGCCGAUCUGUCUGUUGGUGGGGGAGUUGCCUACCAAGGCGGCCACGGGUAGCCGGCCGGAGAGGGUGGCCGGCCACAUUGGGAAUGAGAUAAGGGCCAGACGCCGUGGGGAGGCAGGAGUGGGGGAUAUUGCCCAAUUGGCGCAAGCCCGAUGCAGCAACGCCGGGUGCGGGGUGACGGCCCUCGGGUUGUAAACCGCUUUCCGCAGGUACGAAGGUGUUUGUGAGGGUACCUGGAGAAGAAGCACCGGCUAACUACGUG
Molecule: ribosomal RNA, 465 nt
Filed under: uncultured bacterium
Lineage: Bacteria
Description: partial 16S ribosomal RNA
Rfam family: Bacterial small subunit ribosomal RNA
Source: RNAcentral